RNAcentral lists this non-coding RNA (214 nucleotides) under Tissierella creatinophila. RNAcentral's name for it is "T-box sequence". It matches the Rfam family "T-box leader". From Rfam's summary of the family: Uncharged tRNA acts as the effector for transcription antitermination of genes in the T-box leader family. T-boxes are found upstream of many aminoacyl-tRNA synthetase genes and some amino acid biosynthetic genes usually in Gram-positive bacteria. Lineage: Bacteria; Bacillati; Bacillota; Tissierellia; Tissierellales; Tissierellaceae. The record is from RNAcentral.
UAUUUAACUUUGAAAAAGAGGAGUAGACAUUUAACUUUUUAGGAAGAAAAUCCUUGGCUGAAAGAUUUUUAAAGCUCUAAAUGUUGAAAGUAGCUUUUGAGUUUUUAGACUGAAAAAUUUUAAGUUUAAAGGGUUAUGACCUUAUAAUAGCAUAAGAGUCGGGAGGAAUCCUGAAACUAAGGUGGCACCGCGGAAAUUACCCUUCGUCCUUAUU